Molecule: ribosomal RNA, 502 nt
Filed under: uncultured bacterium
Lineage: Bacteria
Description: partial 16S ribosomal RNA
Rfam family: Bacterial small subunit ribosomal RNA
Source: RNAcentral
AUUGAACGCUGGCGGCAUGCUUUACACAUGCAAGUCGAACGGCAGCACGGGUGCUUGCACCUGGUGGCGAGUGGCGAACGGGUGAGUAAUAUAUCGGAACGUGCCCUAGAGUGGGGGACAACCAGUCGAAAGAUUGGCUAAUACCGCAUACGAUCUAAGGAUGAAAGUGGGGGACCUUCGGGCCUCGUGCUCCUGGAGCGGCCGAUAUCUGAUUAGCUAGUUGGUGGGGUAAAGGCCGACCAAGGCGACGAUCAGUAGCUGGUCUGAGAGGACGAUCAGCCACACUGGGACUGAGACACGGCCCAGACUCCUACGGGAGGCAGCAGUGGGGAAUUUUGGACAAUGGGGGCAACCCUGAUCCAGCAAUGCCGCGUGAGUGAAGAAGGCCUUCGGGUUGUAAAGCUCUUUUGUCAGGGAAGAAAUUGCCUGGGUUAAUACCCUGGGUAGAUGACGGUACCUGAAGAAUAAGCACCGGCUAACUACGUGCCAGCCGCCGCCGUAA